Molecule: ribosomal RNA, 533 nt
Filed under: uncultured Bacteroidota bacterium
Lineage: Bacteria; Pseudomonadati; Bacteroidota
Description: bacterial SSU rRNA
Rfam family: Bacterial small subunit ribosomal RNA
Source: RNAcentral
CAAUGGACGAAACUCUGACGCAGCCACGCCGCGUGCCGGAAGACGGCCCUAUGGGUUGUAAACGGCUUUUGAAUGGGAAGAACGCCCGGGUUUCGAUCUGGGGUGACGGUACCAUUUGAAUAAGCACCGGCUAACUCCGUGCCAGCAGCCGCGGUAAUACGGAGGGUGCAAGCGUUGUCCGGAAUCAUUGGGUGUAAAGGGUGCGUAGGCGGGAGCCUAAGUCUGUGGUGAAAUCUUGCCGCUUAACGGUAAAAUGGCCAUGGAUACUGGGUUUCUUGAGUACAGAAGAGGCAGGUGGAAUUCGUAGUGUAUCGGUGAAAUGCAUAGAUAUUACGAAGAACACCAGUGGCGAAGGCGGGCUGCUGGGCUGUAACUGACGCUGAGGCACGAAAGCGUGGGGAGCGAACAGGAUUAGAUACCCUGGUAGUCCACGCUGUAAACGAUGUAUGCUAGUUGUUGGCUCUUUGGGGCCAGUGACGCAGUUAACGCAGUAAGCAUACCACCUGGGGAGUACGUAGGAUCGGAUGAAACUA